GCUUUGUGGUCCAGCGGUAAGGACACUUGCCUGUCACCCUGGAGUCCCAGGUUCGAUCCCCGAACGAGGAGCG
This is a non-coding RNA of Rhamnusium bicolor, 73 nucleotides long. NCBI's taxonomy places the organism in Eukaryota, Metazoa, Arthropoda, Insecta, Coleoptera, Cerambycidae. The record is from the annotation of a GenBank genome assembly.